GACGAACGCUGGCGGCGCGCUUAAUACAUGCAAGUCGAACGAGAAGCCAGAGCUUGCUCUGGUGGAAAGUGGCGAACGGGUGAGUAACACGUGAGAAACCUGCCCCAAAGAUUGGGAUAAGCCUUGGAAACGAGGUCUAAUACCAAAUACCUUCUUUUUAACACAUGUUAAAAAGAAGAAAUGCUCCGGCGCUUUGGGAUGGUCUCGCGAUCUAUCAGCUUGUUGGUGAGGUAACGGCUCACCAAGGCAUCGACGGAUAGCUGGUCUGAGAGGAUGUCCAGCCACAUUGGAACUGAGACACGGUCCAAACUCCUACGGGAGCAGCAGUAGGGAAUCUUGCACAAUGAGGGAAACCUUGAUGCAGCGACGCCGCGUGCGGGACGAAGGCCCUAGGGUUGU
Molecule: ribosomal RNA, 399 nt
Filed under: uncultured bacterium
Lineage: Bacteria
Description: bacterial SSU rRNA
Rfam family: Bacterial small subunit ribosomal RNA
Source: RNAcentral